AGGUGCAGUUGCAAGUGCAGA
This 21-nucleotide microRNA is filed under the name Citrus sinensis (sweet orange). RNAcentral's name for it is "csi-miR530b-3p". Its record names the gene csi-miR530b-3p. Lineage: Eukaryota; Viridiplantae; Streptophyta; Magnoliopsida; Sapindales; Rutaceae. The record is from miRBase by way of RNAcentral.